Long non-coding RNA from Physella acuta, 372 nucleotides. RefSeq lists it as uncharacterized. NCBI's taxonomy places the organism in Eukaryota, Metazoa, Mollusca, Gastropoda, Physidae. The record is from RefSeq and is a predicted model, not a curated record.
UGAGCCAGCCCAGAAAGGUGAACAACCACAGCAACACACGGACGAGCCAGUAGUAAACUGGAGAAAACGUGCCGUCUUCAACUCUACGAUCUACUGGGAUUUCAAAAUUCCUUAUGUCAUCGAUAGUUCCUACGCUGUACUAGGCCCCUACUACACGACGAUCUUAAAACGUGCGAUUCAGUACAUCAUGGACCACGUUUGUUUAACUUUUGUUGAUGAAACAAACAGAUGGGACUCCAGCGACCCGAACUGGUUUAUAAACAACGGUUACGUGAUAAACAAAUAUAUAUGGAUAAAAAAUAAUACAGGAUGUAAUGUUGUCGGUAGUGUUGGUAUAAACGAAAAGGUGCAAGUCUCUCCAUGCUGGGAUUU